RNAcentral lists this ribosomal RNA (253 nucleotides) under uncultured bacterium. RNAcentral's name for it is "partial 16S ribosomal RNA". It matches the Rfam family "Bacterial small subunit ribosomal RNA", at positions 524 to 776 of the family's 1533-position model. The record is from RNAcentral.
UACAGAGGGGGCAAGCGUUGUCCGGAAUUACUGGGCGUACAGCGCGCGCAGGCGGACCGCCACGUGCCGUGUGACAAGCCACUGCUCAACAGUGGAGGGCCAGGGUACACGAGCGGUCUGGAGGCAGGGAGAGGGAUGUGGAAUGCCCGGUGGAGCGGUGAAAUGCGUAGAGAUCGGGCGGAACACCAGCGGCGAAGGCGGCAUCCUGGUCCAUAACUGACGCUGAGGCGCGAAAGCUAGGGGAGCAAACAGG